Molecule: transfer RNA, 71 nt
Filed under: Stegodyphus mimosarum
Lineage: Eukaryota; Metazoa; Arthropoda; Arachnida; Araneae; Eresidae
Rfam family: tRNA
About the family: Transfer RNA (tRNA) molecules are approximately 80 nucleotides in length. Their secondary structure includes four short double-helical elements and three loops (D, anti-codon, and T loops).
Source: Rfam by way of RNAcentral
GCGUUCGUGGUGUAACGGUAGCACAUUCGGCGCAAAUUUGAGUGGUCCAGGUUCGAGUCCUGGGGAGGGCA